AUUGAACGCUGGCGGCAUGCUUUACACAUGCAAGUCGAACGGUAACAGGGUGCUUGCCCCGCUGACGAGUGGCGAACGGGUGAGUAAUGCAUCGGAAUGUACCGUGUAAUGGGGGAUAGCUCGGCAAAAGCCGGAUUAAUACCGCAUACGCCCUGAGGGGGAAAGUGGGGGACCGAAAGGCCUCACGUUAUACGAGCAGCCGAUGUCUGAUUAGCUAGUUGGUGAGGUAAAGGCUCACCAAGGCGUCGAUCAGUAGCGGGUCUGAGAGGAUGAUCCGCCACACUGGGACUGAGACACGGCCCAGACUCCUACGGGAGGCAGCAGUGGGGAAUUUUGGACAAUGGGCGCAAGCCUGAUCCAGCCAUGCCGCGUGUCUGAAGAAGGCCUUCGGGUUGUAAAGGACUUUUGUCCGGGAGCAAAUCCUAGUGGUUAAUAACCGCUGGGUCUGAGAGUACCGGAAGAAUAAGCACCGGCUAACUACGUG
Molecule: ribosomal RNA, 484 nt
Filed under: uncultured bacterium
Lineage: Bacteria
Description: partial 16S ribosomal RNA
Rfam family: Bacterial small subunit ribosomal RNA
Source: RNAcentral